This 69-nucleotide transfer RNA is filed under the name Ornebius fuscicerci. Its description in RNAcentral is "tRNA-Leu". The record is from RNAcentral. Lineage: Eukaryota; Metazoa; Arthropoda; Insecta; Orthoptera; Mogoplistidae.
ACCAUUUUGGCAGAUGAAGUGUAAUGAAUUUAGAAUUCAUAGAUAUGAUUUAAUUAAUUAUAUGUGGUA